This 2923-nucleotide ribosomal RNA is filed under the name Klebsiella pneumoniae. RNAcentral describes it as "23S ribosomal RNA". It matches the Rfam family "Bacterial large subunit ribosomal RNA". Lineage: Bacteria; Pseudomonadati; Pseudomonadota; Gammaproteobacteria; Enterobacterales; Enterobacteriaceae. The record is from RNAcentral.
GGGUUGUGAGGUUAAGCGACUAAGCGUACACGGUGGAUGCCCUGGCAGUCAGAGGCGAUGAAGGACGUGCUAAUCUGCGAAAAGCGUCGGUAAGGUGAUAUGAACCGUUAUAACCGGCGAUGUCCGAAUGGGGAAACCCAGUGUGAUUCCUCACACUAUCGUUAACUGAAUACAUAGGUUAACGAGGCGAACCGGGGGAACUGAAACAUCUAAGUACCCCGAGGAAAAGAAAUCAACCGAGAUUCCCCCAGUAGCGGCGAGCGAACGGGGAGCAGCCCAGAGUCUGAAUCAGCUUGUGUGUUAGUGGAACGGUCUGGAAAGUCCGACGGUACAGGGUGAUAGUCCCGUACACCAAAAUGCACAGGCUGUGAACUCGAAGAGUAGGGCGGGACACGUGGUAUCCUGUCUGAAUAUGGGGGGACCAUCCUCCAAGGCUAAAUACUCCUGACUGACCGAUAGUGAACCAGUACCGUGAGGGAAAGGCGAAAAGAACCCCGGCGAGGGGAGUGAAAAAGAACCUGAAACCGUGUACGUACAAGCAGUGGGAGCACCUUCGGGUGUGACUGCGUACCUUUUGUAUAAUGGGUCAGCGACUUAUAUUCUGUAGCAAGGUUAACCGUAUAGGGGAGCCGCAGGGAAACCGAGUCUUAACUGGGCGUUAAGUUGCAGGGUAUAGACCCGAAACCCGGUGAUCUAGCCAUGGGCAGGUUGAAGGUUGGGUAACACUAACUGGAGGACCGAACCGACUAAUGUUGAAAAAUUAGCGGAUGACUUGUGGCUGGGGGUGAAAGGCCAAUCAAACCGGGAGAUAGCUGGUUCUCCCCGAAAGCUAUUUAGGUAGCGCCUCGUGAACUCAUCUUCGGGGGUAGAGCACUGUUUCGGCUAGGGGGUCAUCCCGACUUACCAACCCGAUGCAAACUACGAAUACCGAAGAAUGUUAUCACGGGAGACACACGGCGGGUGCUAACGUCCGUCGUGAAGAGGGAAACAACCCAGACCGCCAGCUAAGGUCCCAAAGUCAUGGUUAAGUGGGAAACGAUGUGGGAAGGCACAGACAGCCAGGAUGUUGGCUUAGAAGCAGCCAUCAUUUAAAGAAAGCGUAAUAGCUCACUGGUCGAGUCGGCCUGCGCGGAAGAUGUAACGGGGCUAAACCAUGCACCGAAGCUGCGGCAGCGACACUAUGUGUUGUUGGGUAGGGGAGCGUUCUGUAAGCCUGCGAAGGUGACCUGUGAGGGUUGCUGGAGGUAUCAGAAGUGCGAAUGCUGACAUAAGUAACGAUAAAGCGGGUGAAAAGCCCGCUCGCCGGAAGACCAAGGGUUCCUGUCCAACGUUAAUCGGGGCAGGGUGAGUCGACCCCUAAGGCGAGGCCGAAAGGCGUAGUCGAUGGGAAACAGGUUAAUAUUCCUGUACUUGGUGUUACUGCGAAGGGGGGACGGAGAAGGCUAUGUUAGCCGGGCGACGGUUGUCCCGGUUUAAGCAUGUAGGCUGAUUGUCCAGGCAAAUCCGGAUAAUCAAGGCUGAGGUGUGAUGACGAGGCACUACGGUGCUGAAGUAACAAAUGCCCUGCUUCCAGGAAAAGCCUCUAAGCAUCAGGUAACAUCAAAUCGUACCCCAAACCGACACAGGUGGUCAGGUAGAGAAUACCAAGGCGCUUGAGAGAACUCGGGUGAAGGAACUAGGCAAAAUGGUGCCGUAACUUCGGGAGAAGGCACGCUGGUGUGUAGGUGAAGUCCCUGCGGAUGGAGCUGAGACCAGUCGAAGAUACCAGCUGGCUGCAACUGUUUAUUAAAAACACAGCACUGUGCAAACACGAAAGUGGACGUAUACGGUGUGACGCCUGCCCGGUGCCGGAAGGUUAAUUGAUGGGGUUAUCCGUAAGGAGAAGCUCUUGAUCGAAGCCCCGGUAAACGGCGGCCGUAACUAUAACGGUCCUAAGGUAGCGAAAUUCCUUGUCGGGUAAGUUCCGACCUGCACGAAUGGCGUAAUGAUGGCCAGGCUGUCUCCACCCGAGACUCAGUGAAAUUGAACUCGCUGUGAAGAUGCAGUGUACCCGCGGCAAGACGGAAAGACCCCGUGAACCUUUACUAUAGCUUGACACUGAACAUUGAGCCUUGAUGUGUAGGAUAGGUGGGAGGCUUUGAAGCGUGGACGCCAGUCUGCGUGGAGCCAACCUUGAAAUACCACCCUUUAAUGUUUGAUGUUCUAACGUUGGCCCCUUAUCGGGGUUGCGGACAGUGUCUGGUGGGUAGUUUGACUGGGGCGGUCUCCUCCCAAAGCGUAACGGAGGAGCACGAAGGUUAGCUAAUCCUGGUCGGACAUCAGGAGGUUAGUGCAAUGGCAUAAGCUAGCUUGACUGCGAGCGUGACGGCGCGAGCAGGUGCGAAAGCAGGUCAUAGUGAUCCGGUGGUUCUGAAUGGAAGGGCCAUCGCUCAACGGAUAAAAGGUACUCCGGGGAUAACAGGCUGAUACCGCCCAAGAGUUCAUAUCGACGGCGGUGUUUGGCACCUCGAUGUCGGCUCAUCACAUCCUGGGGCUGAAGUAGGUCCCAAGGGUAUGGCUGUUCGCCAUUUAAAGUGGUACGCGAGCUGGGUUUAGAACGUCGUGAGACAGUUCGGUCCCUAUCUGCCGUGGGCGCUGGAGAAUUGAGGGGGGCUGCUCCUAGUACGAGAGGACCGGAGUGGACGCAUCACUGGUGUUCGGGUUGUCAUGCCAAUGGCACUGCCCGGUAGCUAAAUGCGGAAGAGAUAAGUGCUGAAAGCAUCUAAGCACGAAACUUGCCCCGAGAUGAGUUCUCCCUGAGACUUUAAGUCUCCUGAAGGAACGUUGAAGACGACGACGUUGAUAGGCCGGGUGUGUAAGCGCAGCGAUGCGUUGAGCUAACCGGUACUAAUGAACCGUGAGGCUUAACCUUACAACGCCGAAG